RNAcentral lists this long non-coding RNA (488 nucleotides) under Homo sapiens (human). RNAcentral's name for it is "HSALNT0141495". The record is from RNAcentral. Lineage: Eukaryota; Metazoa; Chordata; Mammalia; Primates; Hominidae.
UUCACUUUCAUCUUAAUAGCCCUUUUCUGGGGGGGAGGAGGGCUUCCUCAUAUAAACCAUUCUUUCAAAGUCUGUUUUGGUUGUUUCUUUUUACACUUUACAAGCAGUGACAAAUUAUGUCCACAAUGAGUUCUCAAUUAAAAGAUGAAAAUGUGACCUUGAUCAUUUUAGAGUUUUUGCAAAUUUCAACUUGAUAUUCUAUGGCCUUCCAAGGGCAAAAGACAUCUUUAUUGAUCAAUUUCUGCUGAGACAGAACUCUCCAGUUCUACUGAUUUAACGACGUGGAAUAUUUCUUCAAGUGACAGUAGAAAAAGCUGAUUUACCCAUGAUGAUUCUAUUAAGUGUGGUCUCUGUCAAUAGAGAAGAAUCACUAUUUGAAUGAGACCUCAAGAUGCUUACAAAUUCUAAAUCAACACCCCAAUCUGAGGGUUCAGAGGAAGAAUCAUUAAAAGGUAGUAUCCGAUUACAACUAACCCCUAGCCUCUGAU